AGGACUGUAGUUAACUAUAACAUUUGGUUUGCAUCCAAAAGGUGUUGGAUCCCCGACCAGUCUUA
Molecule: transfer RNA, 65 nt
Filed under: Stenacron interpunctatum
Lineage: Eukaryota; Metazoa; Arthropoda; Insecta; Ephemeroptera; Heptageniidae
Description: tRNA-Ala
Rfam family: tRNA
About the family: Transfer RNA (tRNA) molecules are approximately 80 nucleotides in length. Their secondary structure includes four short double-helical elements and three loops (D, anti-codon, and T loops). Further hydrogen bonds mediate the characteristic L-shaped molecular structure. tRNAs have two regions of fundamental functional importance: the anti-codon, which is responsible for specific mRNA codon recognition, and the 3' end, to which the tRNAs corresponding amino acid is attached (by aminoacyl-tRNA synthetases). tRNAs cope with the degeneracy of the genetic code in two manners: having more than one tRNA (with a specific anti-codon) for a particular amino acid; and 'wobble' base-pairing, i.e. permitting non-standard base-pairing at the 3rd anti-codon position.
Source: RNAcentral